This is a long non-coding RNA of Cyprinus carpio carpio, 595 nucleotides long. The record is from Ensembl. Lineage: Eukaryota; Metazoa; Chordata; Actinopteri; Cypriniformes; Cyprinidae.
CAGUGUUCUCGUCUGCUAAUAAUUAGGAACACAGAUGAAAAGGUCUAUAAAUACAAUGUCUUUGUGGUAAUUAGCACCAUACUAGGCCAUAUACAGCCCAGACAAAUGGAGCCAAGUAAGGUUCAAGAGAUCAAAAACAUUUUUCAGGAUAACCAAUAUCCAGACUGCUCAAGUAAGGAACACUAUUAUAUAAAGAGACGAUGUGAAAAUUUCACACUGAAGGAUGGCGAGCUGCAUUACAUAUACAGAAGAAAAAAGAAAAGAGCCAGCAUUUGGCUAUAGUUGUCCUUUCACCCAAGGAGGCACAAAACAUCUUUGUGGAGCUCCAUGCAGGCCCACUUGGUGGUCAGUGUGGAGUUGAGAAAACUCAUAAUGCUAUAAUCCUUAGAUUUUACUGGCCUGGCAUAGAGCAGGACAUCUGCAAGUGGUGUCCUCAGUGUCAGACCAGGAGAAAGACAGUAAAGGAGAAGAAGGCAUGUGGUACCAUUGGGACUGUGUGGGCAGACCCUCCACAGCUGGCAAAUACACCUGUCCUGCAUGCAUUUAAUGCAUUUGUCCUGUAUCCUCAUAUAAAAAAUAAUAAAAAUAAAUGCAC